CUCAAAAUUUCUAAUAUUUUCGACUGCUACAACAAACUUUCACCAUACAAAAUAAUCAAGAAAAACACUCAAAAAGAUUGAAUGUGUGAGGUUAGUCUCAUUAACGGAAUUGUGAACAAUUUUGUUAAAAAAUAGUGACUUGGUUUUCAAAUGUAUUUUUUUAAAGAAUAAUGUUUUUUAGCUUUUUAUUAUAUAUCAACAUGAGACCUCAGGUAACAAGGUAAAAGAGACAGAAAAAUAAAAAAAUUUAAUUUUUUCAAGUUUAUAGUUUAUAGUAAAGAAGUUUUUUUUUUUUUUGAAAAAUAUAUUUUAAAACAGUGUCACUAUUUUAAACGGCAAAUGGACAUUUCUAUUAAUGAGAUUAAUGUCGAGCAUUUGGAUUUCUAUUUGAGUACUUUUUGUUUCUAAGUUAUUUUGUAUGUUGAAGGUGUAUUGUAGGAAUCGGAAACAUCAACUCUCAAGAUUUUUAUGAG
This 473-nucleotide microRNA precursor is filed under the name Arabidopsis lyrata. RNAcentral describes it as "miR857 stem-loop (aly-MIR857)". Its record names the gene aly-MIR857. The record is from miRBase by way of RNAcentral. Lineage: Eukaryota; Viridiplantae; Streptophyta; Magnoliopsida; Brassicales; Brassicaceae.